ACUGGCCCAGGGAGGUCGGCAACGACCACCCAGGGCCGGAAAGUUGGUCAAACUCGGUCAUUUAGAGGAAGUAAAAGUCGUAACAAGGUCUCCGUAGGUGAACCUGCGGAGGGAUCAUUA
Molecule: ribosomal RNA, 120 nt
Filed under: Microcyclosporella mali
Lineage: Eukaryota; Fungi; Ascomycota; Dothideomycetes; Mycosphaerellales; Mycosphaerellaceae
Description: partial 18S ribosomal RNA
Rfam family: Eukaryotic small subunit ribosomal RNA
Source: RNAcentral